GAUGAACGCUGGCGGCGUGCCUAAUACAUGCAAGUCGAGCGAACGGACGAGAAGCUUGCUUCUCUGAUGUUAGCGGCGGACGGGUGAGUAACACGUGGAUAACCUACCUAUAAGACUGGGAUAACUUCGGGAAACCGGAGCUAAUACCGGAUAAUAUUUUGAACCGCAUGGUUCAAAAGUGAAAGACGGUCUUGCUGUCACUUAUAGAUGGAUCCGCGCUGCAUUAGCUAGUUGGUAAGGUAACGGCUUACCAAGGCAACGAUGCAUAGCCGACCUGAGAGGGUGAUCGGCCACACUGGAACUGAGACACAGUCCAGACUCCUACGGGAGGCAGCAGUAGGGAAUCUUCCGCAAUGGGCGAAAGCCUGACGGAGCAACGCCGCGUGAGUGAUGAAGGUCUUCGGAUCGUAAAACUCUGUUAUUAGGGAAGAACAUAUGUGUAAGUAACUGUGCACAUCUGGACGGUACCUAAUCAGAAAGCCACGGCUAACUACGU
Molecule: ribosomal RNA, 496 nt
Filed under: uncultured bacterium
Lineage: Bacteria
Description: partial 16S ribosomal RNA
Rfam family: Bacterial small subunit ribosomal RNA
Source: RNAcentral